UACGGGGGGAGCAAGCGUUGUUCGGAUUUACUGGGCGUAAAGGGCGCGUAGGCGGCCUCUGCAAGUCGACUGUGAAAUCUCCGGGCUUAACUCGGAACGGUCAAGUGAUACUGUCGGACUAGAGUACAGAAGGGGCAACUGGAAUUCUCGGUGUAGCGGUGAAAUGCGUAGAUAUCGAGAGGAACACCUGCGGCGAAGGCGGGUUGCUGGGCUGAUACUGACGCUGAGGCGCGAAAGCCAGGGGAGCGAACGGG
Molecule: ribosomal RNA, 254 nt
Filed under: uncultured bacterium
Lineage: Bacteria
Description: partial 16S ribosomal RNA
Rfam family: Bacterial small subunit ribosomal RNA
Source: RNAcentral